This 489-nucleotide ribosomal RNA is filed under the name uncultured bacterium. RNAcentral describes it as "partial 16S ribosomal RNA". It matches the Rfam family "Bacterial small subunit ribosomal RNA", at positions 30 to 507 of the family's 1533-position model. The record is from RNAcentral.
AUUGAACGCUGGCGGCAGGCCUAACACAUGCAAGUCGAACGGUAACAGGAAGAAGCUUGCUUCUUUGCUGACGAGUGGCGGACGGGUGAGUAAUGUCUGGGAGACUGCCUGAUGGAGGGGGAUAACUACUGGAAACGGUAGCUAAUACCGCAUACGUCGCAAGACCAAAGAGGGGGACCUUCGGGCCUCUUGCCAUCGAAUGUGCCCAGAUGGGAUUAGCUAGUAGGUGGGGUAACGGCUCACCUAGGCGACGAUCCCUAGCUGGUCUGAGAGGAUGACCAGCCACACUGGAACUGAGACACGGUCCAGACUCCUACGGGAGGCAGCAGUGGGGAAUAUUGCACAAUGGGCGCAAGCCUGAUGCAGCCAUGCCGCGUGUAUGAAGAAGGCCUUCGGGUUGUAAAGUACUUUCAGCGGGGAGGAAGGGAGUAAAGUUAAUACCUUUGCUCAUUGACGUUACCCGCAGAAGAAGCACCGGCUAACUCCGUG